RNAcentral lists this ribosomal RNA (479 nucleotides) under Janthinobacterium lividum. RNAcentral's name for it is "bacterial SSU rRNA". It matches the Rfam family "Bacterial small subunit ribosomal RNA", at positions 30 to 504 of the family's 1533-position model. The record is from RNAcentral. Lineage: Bacteria; Pseudomonadati; Pseudomonadota; Betaproteobacteria; Burkholderiales; Oxalobacteraceae.
UGAACGCUGGCGGCAUGCCUUACACAUGCAAGUCGAACGGCAGCACGGAGCUUGCUCUGGUGGCGAGUGGCGAACGGGUGAGUAAUAUAUCGGAACGUACCCUAGAGUGGGGGAUAACGUAGCGAAAGUUACGCUAAUACCGCAUACGAUCUAAGGAUGAAAGUGGGGGAUCGCAAGACCUCAUGCUCGUGGAGCGGCCGAUAUCUGAUUAGCUAGUUGGUAGGGUAAAAGCCUACCAAGGCAUCGAUCAGUAGCUGGUCUGAGAGGACGACCAGCCACACUGGAACUGAGACACGGUCCAGACUCCUACGGGAGGCAGCAGUGGGGAAUUUUGGACAAUGGGCGAAAGCCUGAUCCAGCAAUGCCGCGUGAGUGAAGAAGGCCUUCGGGUUGUAAAGCUCUUUUGUCAGGGAAGAAACGGUGAGAGCUAAUAUCUCUUGCUAAUGACGGUACCUGAAGAAUAAGCACCGGCUAACUAC